RNAcentral lists this ribosomal RNA (251 nucleotides) under uncultured prokaryote. Its description in RNAcentral is "partial 16S rRNA". It matches the Rfam family "Bacterial small subunit ribosomal RNA", at positions 525 to 775 of the family's 1533-position model. The record is from RNAcentral.
ACGGGGGGUGCAAGCGUUGUUCGGAAUUAUUGGGCGUAAAGCGCGCGCAGGCGGCUUGGCAAGUCAGAUGUGAAAUCCCUGGGCUUAACCCAGGAAGUGCAUUGGAAACUGCGUGGCUAGAGUACGGGAGAGGAAAGUGGAAUUCCUGGUGUAGAGGUGAAAUUCGUAGAGAUCGGGAGGAACACCAGUGGCGAAGGCGACUAUCUGGACGGAUACUGACGCUGAGGCGCGAAAGCGUGGGGAGCAAACAG